GCAAUUCCUCGACAUAUUUUCCGUAUGCAAAGUGACCUCAGUGUGACCCAUCUCGUAAAAAUUCGGUGAUCGCAAUACGCAUGGAUGUCUUUAAAAUAAACUAUAAUUAUCUGAUUGUACAUGUUAAACACGUGCUUACUAUCCAUGCUUUUUGUUGAUUGUUGACAAACAGGUGACAAUCGUUUAACCUCGGCCUCAAAACACGAACUUUAAUUACCUGCCAUAUUUUCACAACAACACUGACCGA
Molecule: long non-coding RNA, 247 nt
Filed under: Mytilus galloprovincialis (Mediterranean mussel)
Lineage: Eukaryota; Metazoa; Mollusca; Bivalvia; Mytilida; Mytilidae
Source: RNAcentral